Molecule: unclassified non-coding RNA, 215 nt
Filed under: fungal sp.
Lineage: Eukaryota; Fungi
Description: partial internal transcribed spacer region
Rfam family: Eukaryotic small subunit ribosomal RNA (bases 1-46)
Source: RNAcentral
AAGUCGUAACAAGGUUUCCGUAGGUGAACCUGCGGAAGGAUCAUUAGCGUAGUAGUGUUGAGUGUGGUGAGUGUGAUGCGCAAGCAUCUGCUCUCCUCAUUCACACACCAUACACACACUGUGAACUUGGAUAAUCUCUAACGUUGUAACAACCCAACAAAUCAAAAACAUUAAUAAUUUACAUACAACUUUUAACAAUGGAUCUCUAGGCUCCU